Molecule: ribosomal RNA, 472 nt
Filed under: uncultured bacterium
Lineage: Bacteria
Description: partial 16S ribosomal RNA
Rfam family: Bacterial small subunit ribosomal RNA
Source: RNAcentral
GACGAACGCUGGCGGCGUGCUUAACACAUGCAAGUCGAACGCUGAAGCUUGGUGCUUGCACUGGGUGGAUGGGUGGCGAACGGGUGAGUAAUACGUGAGUAACCUGCCCUUGACUCUGGGAUAAGCCUGGGAAACUGGGUCUAAUACUGGAUACGACAUGUCACCGCAUGGUGGUGUGUGGAAAGGGUUUUACUGGUUUUGGAUGGGCUCACGGCCUAUCAGCUUGUUGGUGGGGUAAUGGCUCACCAAGGCGACGACGGGUAGCCGGCCUGAGAGGGUGACCGGCCACAAUGGGACUGAGACACGGCCCAGACUCCUACGGGAGGCAGCAGUGGGGAAUAUUGCACAAUGGGCGGAAGCCUGAUGCAGCGACGCCGCGUGAGGGAUGACGGCCUUCGGGUUGUAAACCUCUUUCAGCAAGGAAGAAGCGAAAGUGACGGUACGUGCAGAAGAAGCGCCGGCUAACUACGUG